CAGAGGGUGCAAACGUUGCUCGGAAUUAUUGGGCGUAAAGCGCACGUAGGCGGCAUGGUAAGUUGGAUGUGAAAACCCUGGGCUCAACCCUGGAAGUGCAUCCAAGACUGCCACGCUGGAGUGUCGGAGGGGGUCGGAGAAUUCCCGGUGUAGAGGUGAAAUUCGUAGAUAUCGGGAGGAACACCUGUGGCGAAGGCGCCGACCUGGACGACAACUGACGCUGAGGUGCGAAAGCAUGGGGAGCAAACAGGAUUAGAUACCCUGGUAGUCCAUGCCGUAAACGAUGAGUGCUGGACGGUGGAGGAUUAUGACCCCUUCGUCGUCGAAGCUAACGCGUUAAGCACUCCGCCUGGGAAGUACGGUCGCAAGACUA
Molecule: ribosomal RNA, 373 nt
Filed under: uncultured organism
Description: bacterial SSU rRNA
Rfam family: Bacterial small subunit ribosomal RNA
Source: RNAcentral